RNAcentral lists this ribosomal RNA (445 nucleotides) under uncultured bacterium. Its description in RNAcentral is "partial 16S ribosomal RNA". It matches the Rfam family "Bacterial small subunit ribosomal RNA", at positions 354 to 796 of the family's 1533-position model. The record is from RNAcentral.
GUAAGGAAUAUUGGACAAUGGACGCAAGUCUGAUCCAGCCAUGCCGCGUGAAGGAUUAAGGUCCUCUGGAUUGUAAACUUCUUUUAUAAGGGACGAAAAAAGGCUUUUCUAAGUCGUCUGACGGUACCUUAUGAAUAAGCACCGGCUAACUCCGUGCCAGCAGCCGCGGUAAUACGGAGGGUGCAAGCGUUAUCCGGAUUCACUGGGUUUAAAGGGUGCGUAGGCGGGCAGGUAAGUCAGUGGUGAAAUCCUAGAGCUUAACUCUAGAACUGCCAUUGAUACUAUCUGUCUUGAAUAUUGUGGAGGUAAGCGGAAUAUGUCAUGUAGCGGUGAAAUGCUUAGAUAUGACAUAGAACACCUAUUGCGAAGGCAGCUUACUACGGGGUGAUUGACACUGAGGCACGAAAGCGUGGGGAGCAAACAGGAUUUGAUACCCGUGUAGUCC